This 301-nucleotide ribosomal RNA is filed under the name uncultured bacterium. RNAcentral describes it as "partial 16S ribosomal RNA". It matches the Rfam family "Bacterial small subunit ribosomal RNA", at positions 509 to 807 of the family's 1533-position model. The record is from RNAcentral.
CAGUAGCCACGGGAAUACAGAGGGUGCGAGCGUUAAUCGGAUUUACUGGGCGUAAAGCGUGCGUAGGCGGCUUUUUAAGUCGGAUGUGAAAUCCCUGAGCUUAACUUAGGAAUUGCAUUCGAUACUGGGAAGCUAGAGUAUGGGAGAGGAUGGUAGAAUUCCAGGUGUAGCGGUGAAAUGCGUAGAGAUCUGGAGGAAUACCGAUGGCGAAGGCAGCCAUCUGGCCUAAUACUGACGCUGAGGUACGAAAGCAUGGGGAGCAAACAGGAUUAGAGACCCCGGUAGUCCCUGUCUCUUAUAC